Molecule: ribosomal RNA, 774 nt
Filed under: uncultured Neocallimastigales
Lineage: Eukaryota; Fungi; Neocallimastigomycota; Neocallimastigomycetes; Neocallimastigales
Description: partial large subunit ribosomal RNA
Rfam family: Eukaryotic large subunit ribosomal RNA
Source: RNAcentral
GUACACGCUGUGACUAGCAUAUCAAUAAGCGGAGGAAAAGAAACUAACAAGGAUUCCCCUAGUAACGGCGAGUGAAGCGGGAAGAGCUCAAAUUUGAAAUCUUAAAGGGUUUCCCUUUACGAAUUGUAGUUUAAAGAAGUGUUUUCUGUUGAGGUUUUGGUAAAAGUUCUUUGGAAUAGGACAUCAUAGAGGGUGAGAAUCCCGUAUUUGACCUUUACUUUCAACUUUGUGAUACACUUUCAAAGAGUCGGAUUGUUUGGGAAUGCAGUCCAAAAUGGGUGGUAAAUUUCAUCUAAAGCUAAAUAUUGGCGAGAGACCGAUAGCGAACAAGUACCGUGAGGGAAAGAUGAAAAGAACUUUGAAAAGAGAGUUAAACAGUACGUGAAAUUGUCAAAAGGGAAGCGUUUGACACCAGUGUUGUUUUUCUGAAAAUCAAUUAAAGAACUGUUUAUGCUAAGUUGUUUAGACUUUAUCAGCUAACUGUUUAGUUUUGAGCUUUUCUUUAAUGCACUUUUCAGUUAACAAGUCAACAUCAAUUUCUUUUGCUGUAAAAAAGCUUGAGGAAGGUGGCUUGAGAUUCGUCUUAAGUGUUUAUAGCCUCUUGCCUAUGCAGUCGGAGAGAUUGAGGUCUGCAGCGUAGAUCCUUCGAGGCUAAAUGCAUUUGUGCUAAGUUAUAACAUUUUAGAGACAACUUGUUGACUAUGAUUUGUCUUGUAGCUUACUCGCUUAUGUUAUUUUACCUACGCUUAGGAUGUUGACGCGCGUGUGUGCGUG